CUCAGACUGAAUUACCCCACCAGCUUUCUUGAUUUUCCAGCUUGCAGGUGGCAGAUAAUGAGACUUCUCAGCCUCCAUAAUCAUAAUACCACUGGAAGGUCCAAGAUCCAGGGGCCCACAUCUGCCAAGGGCUUUCAUGCCGUGUCAUCCCAUGAGGAAAAGCAGAGGUCUGAAGCAUAGAAUGACUAGUCACUGAAUCAGAUUAGAAAACAUAAUGAACACUGCAGGAGCACUGUUGUACCAAGGAGCCUGACGGUCAAAGAAGAACUGCACUUGAUCUUACGCACAAUUAAGCACAGCACCAGACGCUAAGUACCCCAGGGUGUCAGGGUUACGAAGAGAGGCACAAAUUACCCAGACAUUGGAUGGAACGUUUUACUCAUUUAGCAAGAGACAGAGCAGGUUUAGCCUUCAUAGUAAGCCUUGGUCCCCCAUGGCUAUUGCCUCUUCUCCACAAACUUCAUGUACUGCAGGCAAGGCAGUGGCUUCUGCAGGAAUAAGAAGAGGAAUGAUUAAUUCUCCCAACUUCCUUCUGAGACCAGGGAUGAUCUUAUCCAACAACCUGGGAUGAACAAGCAAAGACCCCACAAGGCUAAUUUUCAGAGCUAGUAAAUGAGAGAAGAGAACACAAGGAAAAUGAAGAAAGACAAAAUAUUAGCAUCUCUGACAUUUACAGAAUAGAUGGGAGAGAAGAACCUGGAGGAAAGCUGUAAAGGGUACAUCAGAGAGUUAAGAUGAAAAUCAAGGGCAUAUGAUACUAAGAAGGAGUUUCUGGAAUGGGAAAGGGGUCAAAGGUUUAGAAUUCCACUGCCAUAGAGGAACAUCUGGAGACUCUCAAUGACUCUGACAAGGUCAGUUUUACUGAUAUGAAAGUGAUGGCGGGAAGCCAAAAGUCUGACAGCAAUAGAUUGAAUUAGUGAAUAGGUGAUUUCUGGGCUAAGCUUUGAAGGAGAGUAACAAAGUGGGAGAAUGAUUGCAAAGAGUAUGUUAUCAUGAGGUGGCUUUGUCAUCACCAGCAUCUUCAUUUCCUAGACCGAAGCUCUUAAUGUUUAGUUUUUUGUUCAAUAUAUAGCCGUUUUUCUGAAUUCUGCCCACCUUGGCC
Molecule: long non-coding RNA, 1102 nt
Organism: Gorilla gorilla gorilla (western lowland gorilla)
Lineage: Eukaryota; Metazoa; Chordata; Mammalia; Primates; Hominidae
Exons: 6
Source: RefSeq, a predicted model, not a curated record